CUUCUUUUUAAGUACAUUUUGACAUAAAACAUGUCCUGAACAUGAGAUAAGUUUUCUGGGGUACCCUGUGAGAAGAGAUCCCUGAGGCUAAAUGAUAAUUUAAAGUAACCUGCCACUUUAAAAUGAAUACAUAUGUUAGUACAAGAGAUACUCUUUAGUGGGUUUUUUAAAAUAAUAAUUAAAUAACAUAGUCAACAACUUAGAAUUUUGAAAAUUACAAUAUAACCUAAGCUAAGGAUCAAAUACAUAUGCACAUUUUCACUGAGAAGGGAUUGUUAGCAAAUAUUAUGUAAAGAAGAUUGUUUUUUUCCCCUUGUCUAGAGUCCUGAAAUCAUUUGUGAAUUAAACUACAGAAUCUUCUAUAUAGCUAGCUUAAUACUCUCUCAAUUGAACUCUGUUGCNCUUUCUUCUUUCUUUCUUUCUUUUCUUUCUUUCUUUCUUUCUUUCUUUCUUUCUUUCUUUCUUUCUUUCUUUCUUCUUUCUUACCUUUCUUUCUUUCUUUCUUUCUUUCUUUCUUUCUUCCUUUCUUCCUUUCUUCCUUUCUUCCUUUCUUCCUUUCUUCCUUUCUUCCUUUCUUCCUUUCUUCCUUUCUUCCUUCCUUCCUUCCUUCCUUCCUUCCUUCCUUCCUUCCUUCCUUCCUUCCUUCCUUCCUUCCUUCCUUCCUUUCUUCCUUCCUUCCUUUCUUUCUCUUCCUUUCUUUCUUUUUCUUUCUUUCUUUCUUUCUUUCUUUCUUUCUUUCUUUCUUUCUUUCUUUCUUUCUUUCUUUCUUUCUUUCUUUCUUUCUUUCUUUCUUUCUUUCUUUCUUUCUUUCUUUCUUUCUUUCUUUCUUUCUUUCUUUCUUUCUUUCUUUCUUUCUCCUCCUCCCUCACUUCCUACUUCUCUCUCUUUUUACCUUCCUCUUUCUUUUGCUUUUUUUAAACACUUUUUAAGUGACACAAAUACCGUUGUAAUUUAAGUCAUUAUUUUAUUUACUAAAUAAAAUGUAUACAUGCACACUUAUGUUAUAGAUA
RNAcentral lists this long non-coding RNA (1010 nucleotides) under Monodelphis domestica (gray short-tailed opossum). RNAcentral describes it as "lncRNA (ENSMODG00000041944.1)". Lineage: Eukaryota; Metazoa; Chordata; Mammalia; Didelphimorphia; Didelphidae. The record is from RNAcentral.